Molecule: ribosomal RNA, 492 nt
Filed under: uncultured bacterium
Lineage: Bacteria
Description: bacterial SSU rRNA
Rfam family: Bacterial small subunit ribosomal RNA
Source: RNAcentral
GAUGAACGCUAGCGGCAGGCUUAAUACAUGCAAGUCGAACGGCAAGGACUUUCGGGUCCCUAGAGUGGCGCACGGGUGAGUAACACGUACACAACAUACCCUAUAUUGGAGGAUAGCCUUGGGAAACUGGGGGUAAUAUUCCAUAGUAUUUAUUGGAGGCAUCUCUGAUAAAUUAAAGAGCAAUCGAUAUAGGAUUGGUGUGCGUCCCAUUAGCUAGUUGGUAGGGUAACGGCCUACCAAGGCUACGAUGGGUAGCUGGCGUGAGAGCGCGACCAGCCACACUGGAACUGAGACACGGUCCAGACUCCUACGGGAGGCAGCAGUAGGGAAUAUUGGACAAUGGAGGCAACUCUGAUCCAGCCAUGCCGCGUGGAGGAUGACUGCCCUCUGGGUUGUAAACUCCUUUUGUACAGGAAGAAACCUCCUCAUUUAUUGAGUGAGCUGACGGUACUGUAAGAAUAAGCACCGGCUAACUCCGUGCCAGCAGCCGAC